CGCCCCACCCCCUUCUCCGGAAACCCCACGCCGUGAAGUCAUAAUCCUGUAUCUGUGACACCCUGUCGGUUGCUAUGGAGACGACUCGCUGUUAAACACUGGCGUUCUCAAUGAGGGUUGCAGGGGUUCCGAGGCGGACCUGAGGAGCACAAACCCCUGUUUAGGGUGAACCGUGGUGGGCGCCGCUGGCCUCUUGGAAGAGGACAGACUAGCAGCUGCGAGGGAGAUGGGGCUGGGCUUCACCCCUAAAAGGGCCCCUGGAGACAGCGGGUGAGGGACAGGGGAAGGGGCUGGUGGUCCUCUCUCCCGAGGCCCCGCACCAUCACACAGAUGACUUGGCAGAAUAGCUGCUGGGCCAGUGUUGUCGCCUGUGACUGUACUUUAGGGAAACUGACAGGGAGAUCAUGAUGUCGCCAUUUUGAUGGGGUCACCAGAGGAGAGAUGUCCUCUCCAAAGGCUCCUGGACAGGGCUAGGGAAAGAGUUCAGAUAAUAAGUAUCUCUGUGGUCUGGGCUGUCACCUCACAACUGCACAACUCUGGACCUUCAGCAUCAGAACCACUGGGGCCUAGGUUAAUAAUACAGAUUCCCGGGCUCCAAUUUGGACAGACAACACUGAUCUCUGGGGUGGGAUCCAGGAAUCUACAUGUAAACAAGCACCCAGUGGAGUGCUGCUCACUGAAAUUUGAGAAUCCCUGAUUUAGAAGGACUAUGCUCUGUGCAUGUUCUCUGAAAUGUUAGGUCAAUCAGGACCCCUCUACUGAAACUGCUCCAACCAGCCAAGGUGCAGAGAAAAGAUGCAUGCAGGGCCCCCAAACCAGUGUGCUGUGGAGGCAGGGAGCCCUGGAGAAUGUAAAGCCAGCAAGCUGUUACAGAGAGGUUUGCACAGAACAGACACUCAGUUGAUAUUUGUCAAUUUGCUCUGUUUAAGAACAUUGCUGAAUUAAUUUAAAAGGUAUUUUUAAAAGAAUGAAAUUGAGGAAAAACCUUCAAGGUUCAGAAAAUGUGAAGUUCUCAUUUACUUGUUUAUAAAAAUUGUUUUUGAGUCCAAUAAAGAUGCUUAGCUUAAAUGAUUUCUUUUUUAAAUCUCAGAAUUAAGUUUCUCUUAGUUUUGGGCAGUUUGGUCCAGCUGUUUGCAAAAGACAGGCUUCCCUGUCUCCCAUAUGCAGCCCUGAAGGACCCAACAGAAGCAAGAUAGUUAUUUAAGGAAUGUAAAGGACUAGGGACAGGAUGUAGAUUAAAAUGUUUAAGAUGAUGUCUGCAGAUGAUGUUUGUAGAUGCUGAAGUUUGUUGAAUUCUUAGUCUUCCUCACAAAGCAGAUAAUUUCAAGACUCUGGUGAGCCUCAAUUUACUCCAGUUUAUGAUUUCCAAUGGUUCUGCAUAAAACUGGGUUGCCGUUUUAUGAAAUUGUUUGCAUCUGCUUCACGUGGGCGCAAACUUCACAGUAAGGAGAUAAUGUGAGGGUUUUGCCUUCUUGCAAAACAACUUACAUAUAUAUGUGAAGAAACUGGGGUUUGGGUUUGAAUUAUGUGGACUGCCUGUGUGUAGUAAGCUCUCUGGUCAGUUACCCAUUUGGCUUUGUGUGGACACAGCUCAUGGGAGCGAGGGUUGCUUUCCAUAACACACAGGUUGGGGGAAUUCCUGCUCGUUACCUAUAGCAUCUUGCAGGAGGGCUGCUGAACACCGGAGCCUUGCAACUGUUAAACUCAGGCAGAGCUCAGGAAAUGCUGCCCGGAUGGGUGAGUCGUUUUAACACCUCUUGGGUUGAUUUUUCUCACAGGUUUUUGGAGUUUGCAGAGCUCUGAGCCUGUGACCCCAGGGUGAGACCUCAAGCUGCCCAGUACUGUGGCCCCAUUUCAGAGGCCUUGGGCCUGGGCCAGAGAUGGACGCUAGGGGCUUUUACUCGAGGUUUUUUUCUUCAUUGGUCAUUGGUCAUUGGGUUUCAAGAAAAGCACUUUUUUCAGGAAUCAAAGAAGCAGUGAUGGAAGGAAAAGCAGAGAAAACCGAUGAGCCCUGAUUGGCGGUGAAACUUCCAGGAAAUAUCACUUGCCUCUUGAUUAGGGGAAAUCACUUUUGAGUGACCCUGAAUUUUGUGCCCCAAGCAUAGAUUCUGGCAGAAAGAAAUGAUCUGGACUGAUGACACACUACAGCAUUCAGUCAUGUGGAAAGAAUGAUCUUCAGGAAAAAUCACACCCUUGGCAAAGGCUUUUUACAGAGGCAAGGGCGAGCCGGCCAAUUCUGACAAUAUUCCAGUGGCAAGGGAGCCAGGCUGACUUAGUCAUCAUUACUUAUGUUUCUUCUCUUCCUCCCACAUCUCCUUGUAUAACUGUCUUUUGGGGAGGGGUGAAGUGAUAGUAAGAAAAACAACAGCACUUUGAAAAAGGGGUGGGGGGAGAAACAAGAAGGAGAGAAGGAGUUGGGAAGAGCUCUUGAGUGAUGGGGAGAUGGCACUGGGGACAUUCUGGAGCCUGACAGAACUGUGUGGUCCCUCCAGCCUGAGAUGCUGGGAAAACAGGAAGGGAUUUGGGAGAUGGCAGAGAUGAAGUUGGCUCACAAAAUGCAGGGCUCCCUUAGCACUUCACAAAUACCAGCUUACGAAUUAAUCAUUACAAACACUCCGCAGUCAUCAGGAAACCCUUGAUGGAUGGAGAAAGAUGCACAGAGAUCAAAGUUCAGGGGCAGCAGCAAUAUUCAUUUGGGGCAAUUGGAGUGACAGCAGCACGGGUUCACAGCCUGGUUGACCUCAGAGGCUUUCUCAUCUCUUGCAAGAUUUGGAAGCUAUGCAAAAGGUGUAAUGGGGAGAGGCGCUGAUGUCAGGCAUUUAUGGGACCACUGAGGGGGGCAAAGAGGCAGGACAAAAAGCCAGUGACGAUGGGUCAACAGCUGCAGGUAGACCCAUUUGCAGGUUAUUAGAAACUAACUUAUCUAUCCAGCUCUCUCUUUUUUUUUUUUUUUUUUUGAGAUAAGAGUCUUGCUCUGUCACCCAGACUGGAGUGCAGUGGCGUGAUCUCGGCUCACUGCAACCUCCACUUCCUGGUUCACGCCAUUCUCCUGCCUCAGCCUCCUAAGUAGCUGGGACUACAGGCGCCUGGCACCACGCCCAGCUAAUUUUUUUGUAAUUUUAGUUGAGAUGGGGUUUCACCGCGUCAGCCAGGAUGGUCUCGAACUCCUGACCUUGUGAUCCACCCGCCUUGGCCUCCCAAAGUGCUGGGAUUACAGGCGUAAGCCACCAUGCCCAGCCCUCCAGCUCUCUUUUUGUGGUUACCUUAGACACUAUGAAUCUACGUGAAAACCAAGACGAUUGAUCCUUCGAGUGACUGCAGGUGUCCAACGGGCUGUGUUUUUUGCUUCUAAGCGACAGGCAAUUCCAUGUGCGAGUUUAACACCCUGAUAGGCCCUAGCCUUAACUAUGUUUUAAACUCCCCAAAAGUGUUUUUGUGUUUGUGUGCAUGUGAGGGAGAUACCUUAAAAUCCAGCAAUGCUGCUUCCACAGUGCUCUCCUGGGCCCCUUCCAAAGAUAGUAAUAAUAUGGGCAGCUGGUUUCGAUUUUUAUACUUCCAACAGCUACUCUGUGAAAACGGUGUGCAGCAACAGCCAGGCAAUCCAUACAUACUUAUUAAAUGUGCUGGGCACUGGGUACUGGUCCUGGAAUUCUCCUGGUUGUAGGCAAGCUGGGGGACAGGGAGGUGAGAGCUGGAAUCGUCAUUCUGAAGUGUGAUAUUUAUUGGAUCCCAUACUAGGCGACUGAUGGAGAGGGGCUACCACUCUUCCAGCUGAACCCCGCUCUGGUUGGGACCCAGCGAUUAUUUUCCAUAGCGAAGUGUUCAUAAAAUAUCUAUUACUUCCAACACAACCUCCUGGGGGAAGGGACCUGUCUGUCUGUUUCAAUUCUGGAUCCUCAGCACCCACAUCAGGGUACCUGGCCCGAGAGCAUCCGGUGGCCCAGUUUUAGGUCUCAAGGUCACUGCCAAGAAAGAGAAGCUGCUAAAGUGACACCUCAGUGCACCCACAUGACUCAACACAAAAGUUAACAGGAACUCUUCAAAAACCAGCCUCUCAAGUGUCUGCCUCCUGUCGUCCCUGAGGACAGCAUCAGUGGCAUCAGAUAGGGGUGGGGGCUGGGUGACCUGCUGGUCCUCAGCCAUCACCUCAUCCACAGCUCUCUGCUUAGCAGACAGGCAGAGGGAAUAGAUGGAAGGUACAGGUAAACACUGCAUGUGGCCACCGCAAGGACACCCCAGAGCCUGGGAAACGGACAGGGACAUCGUAAAACCAACACAUAAUGGACGAGUGCAGAGAGACGCAAAACCAGUCAGAAGAAGUAGCAUGGUGCCUAGCCCAGGGACACCUGACUUAAGAGAGGAUCCUGCCGGAUACCCUGGAGGAAGGAACGCUGCACAGAGAAGCUGAGAAGAGUUUGAACAGACAGGCCUUGCUGGGUUUAGAUCUCUUUUUGUCCAAUCCCAUUUUGACACAGUUGUCCAUGCUUCAAUCAUACUUAUCCAAUGAGGUUUCCAUAACAGGCCUGAGAGGACCGGGUUCAGGAGCUUCCAGACAGCUGAGCAGGUGGAGGUUCCUGGAGGGUGGUGUGCCAGGGAGAGUGCGGAAGCUCCGCCCCUUGCCCCAUACCUUGCCCUAUGCGUUCCUUCAUCUGCAUUCUUUAGUUUUUAUUAUUUUUUUUGAGAUGGAGUCUCGCUGUUGUCGCCCAGGCUGCAGGGCAAUGGCACGCGAUCUCAGCCCACUGCAACUUCCACCUCCCAGGUUCAAGCGAUUCUCCUGCCUCAUCCUCCUGAGUAGCUGGGAUUACAGGCACCCAUGUAUCAGCCACCAUGCCCAGGUAAUUUUUGUAUUUUUAGUAGAGACGGGGUUUCACCAUGUUGGCCAGGCUAGUCUUGAACUCCUGACCUCAGGUGAUCCACCCACCUCAGCCUCCCAAAGUGUUGGGAUUACAGGCGUGAGCCACUGUGCCUGGCCUGUAUCCUUUAUAGUAUCUUUUAUAAACAACCAAUCAGUAAAUGUGUUACUCUGACUUCUGUGAGCUGCUCUAGCAAAUUAAUCAAAUCCACAGAGGGGUCAUGGGAACCCCAACUUGAAGCCUGUCGGUCAGAAGUUCCAGAGUCCCGGACUUGUGACUGGUGUCUGAAGUGGGCAAGUCUUGGGGACCGAGCCCCCAGCCUGUGGGAUCUGAUGCUGUCUCCACGUAGAUAGCAAUGGAAUUGAAUUGGCGGACCCUCGGCUGGUGUUUGCUGCAGAGCUCAUUGCUUGCUUGGUGGUGGAGAGAAGUCUCCCUCCACAUGUGGUCACAGCAUCUUCUGUCUGUGUUGAUUGCUUUUGGUGUUGAUCGAGAGAACAGGAAAAAGCACAUUGAAUGGCAUUCUUUUUCCCCAUAUUCAAAGUGGUGUAAUUGUUAGGAGGUGGGUUUGGAAAUCCCAGUGGGGUGACCUUGGCCAAAUUACCUUUCUGGCCUCAGUUUCAUUGUCUAUAAAAUGGGAUCCUCUCAAGCACUCCUAUCUCUUCCUGGAGUGCUUGAGAGGAUUCAAUGAGAAAAUUUAUGGAAAGUGUUUACUUCAGUGCAUGGCACAUAGUAAAAGCUCAAAAAGGUCUCAAUGAUGAAGAUGACAAUAAUCUUGCUUCUAGGUUGUCAUGUGGCAGGCAACAGCUGUGCAGAUCCUAAUAAUCUACUCUGGGUGACAGUUUAACACAGGGGUUGGCAAACGUGGCCCACUUCCUAUUUUUAUAAAUAAAGUUUUAUUGAAACAUG
This is a long non-coding RNA of Macaca mulatta (Rhesus monkey), 5759 nucleotides long. RefSeq lists it as uncharacterized. The record is from RefSeq and is a predicted model, not a curated record. NCBI's taxonomy places the organism in Eukaryota, Metazoa, Chordata, Mammalia, Primates, Cercopithecidae.